RNAcentral lists this small RNA (447 nucleotides) under Arabidopsis thaliana (thale cress). RNAcentral describes it as "ATSL224330". The record is from RNAcentral. Lineage: Eukaryota; Viridiplantae; Streptophyta; Magnoliopsida; Brassicales; Brassicaceae.
GAAAGAGACGAUUUCGUCUGUGAUGGAAUCUUUGGAGGAAUAUUCUCAGUUUACUAUUGAACAGAUGCCUAUGAGUAGUCGGAUUUGUUAUUCCGGUGAUGGUCCGGCGAGAACUUACAGGUAACAUUCAUAACUUUGUUGAUUUUAAUGAUUGAACGUUAACCAAAUCCCAUGUGUUGUUUAUUGAGUGACUUAGAAUAUUAGUCACAAGUUUUUUGAAGGUGACAUAUAAUAUCAAUAAGUAUCUGAUUCGGUCAACACUUGGCCUGUAAAAGUCUUUGUGCAUUCUGUAUUAGUCUCCUAUGUCGGUCACGAUCUUUACUUUUAUUGAACAUCACAUGAUUUUACUGAGAAAUGUUUUCACAUGAUUUUAGUGAGAAAUGUUUUCACAUGAUUUUAGUGAGAAAUGUUUUAAAGAUUCUAUCUUUUGUUUGUAUCUUUUUUGUU